This 302-nucleotide long non-coding RNA is filed under the name Gossypium barbadense (sea-island cotton). Its description in RNAcentral is "long non-coding RNA (GBAR_LNC010246)". The record is from RNAcentral. Lineage: Eukaryota; Viridiplantae; Streptophyta; Magnoliopsida; Malvales; Malvaceae.
CAGGUUGUUACAUUCACAGUUACUCAUAAAAGAAGAUGCAAAUAGUUCCUUAAAGUAAUUCGUAGCUGCCUUAGUUAUUUCCUUAUCUCUAGUUACCCAUUCUCCAUUCUUAUUGCGCAGCUUCCUUAUAGUAUUUUUCUUUUUGUGAUAACUAGCAAAACUAUAAAAGUAUGACGUAUUUCUAUCACCAAAUUGAAGCCAAGUUUAUGUCCAUCAAAAACCAUCCCUAUCGAUUUACCACCUAUGCUAUCAUCACGUAACCAUCUGCUUACCAUCACUGAACCCUUCUUGGCAGUGCUCUC